GACGAACGCUGGCGGCGUGCUUAACACAUGCAAGUCGAACGGAAAGGCACUGCUUUUGUGGGGUGCUCGAGUGGCGAACGGGUGAGUAACACGUGAGUAACCUGCCCUUGACUUUGGGAUAACUUCAGGAAACUGGGGCUAAUCCCGGAUAGGAGCUCCUGCUGCAUGGUGGGGGUUGGAACGUUUCGGCGGUCGGGGAUGGACUCGCGGCUUAUCAGCUUGUUGGUGGGGUAGUGGCUUACCAAGGCUUUGACGGGUAGCCGGCCUGUGAGGGUGACCGGCCACAUGGGGACUGAGGUACGGCCCAGACUCCUACGGGGGGCAGCAGUGGCGAAUAUUGCACAAUGGGCGGAAGCCUGAUGCAGCAACGCCGCGUGCGGGAUGACGGCCUUCGGGUUGUAAAACGCUUUCGCCUGUGACGAAGCUGGAGUGACGGUAAUGGGUAAAGAAGCACCGGCUAACUACGUG
RNAcentral lists this ribosomal RNA (468 nucleotides) under uncultured bacterium. RNAcentral describes it as "partial 16S ribosomal RNA". It matches the Rfam family "Bacterial small subunit ribosomal RNA", at positions 28 to 507 of the family's 1533-position model. The record is from RNAcentral.